GAUGGGUGAUGGCGUGCCUUUUGUAGAAUGAACCGGCGAGUGACGAUGGCGUGCGAGGUUAAGCCGAAGAGGCGGAGCCGCAGCGAAAGCGAGUCUGAAUAGGGCGUGAAGUACGUCGUCGUCGACCCGAAACCAGGUGAUCUACCCAUGUCCAGGGUGAAGGACGGGUAACACCGGCUGGAGGCCCGAACCCACGCACGUUGAAAAGUGCGGGGAUGAGGUGUGGGUAGGGGUGAAAUGCCAAUCGAACYUGGAGAUAGCUGGUUCUCCCCGAAAUAGCUUUAGGGCUAGCCUCAAGGGAAGAGUGUUGGAGGUAGAGCACUGAUUGRGCUAGGGGCCCUCAWCGGGUUACCGAACYCAGUCAAACUCCGAAUGCCAACGACUUAUCCUUGGGAGUCAGACUACGAGUGAUAAGAUCCGUGGUCGAGAGGGAAACAGCCCAGAYCACCAGCUAAGGUCCCAAAGUGCACGUUAAGUGGAAAAGGAUGUGGAGUUGCCCAGACAACCAGGAUGUUGGCUUAGAAGCAGCCAUCAUUUAAAGAGUGCGUAAUAGCUCACUGGUCGAGUGACUCUGCGCCGAAAAUGUACCGGGGCUAAACGUGCCACCGAAGCUGUGGGAUGACCGYUGGUCAUCGGUAGGGGAGCGUUCUAAGYGCRCCGAAGCGRGACCGGAAGGACUCGUGGAGCGCUUAGAAGUGAGAAUGCCGGUGUGAGUAGCGAAAACAGAGGUGAGAAUCCUCUGCACCGAAAGCCUAAGGGUUCCUGAGGAAGGUUCGUCCGCUCAGGGUUAGUCGGGACCUAAGCCGAGGCCGAAAGGCGUAGGUGAUGGGCAACAGGUWGAGAUUCCUGUACCACCUCCUCACCGUUYGAGCRAUGGGGGGACGCAGGAAGGUAGGGCGAGCAGGCUGCUGGAAUAGCCUGUCCAAGCGGUUAGGCUGCCAGAUAGGCAAAUCCGUCUGGCRYMAAGGCUGAGCCGUGAUGGCGAAGGGACCAUCGGUCCCGAAGUCCCCGAUCCUACACUGCCAAGAAAAGCCUCUAGCGAGGUGAGAGGUGCCCGUACCGCAAACCGACACAGGUAGGCGAGGAGAGAAUCCUAAGGUGCGCGGGAGAACUCUCGUUAAGGAACUCGGCAAAAUGACCCCGUAACUUCGGGAGAAGGGGUGCUCUCUUGGGUGAUGAGCCCGAGRGAGCCGCAGUGAAAAGGCCCAAGCGACUGUUUAUCAAAAACACAGGUCUCUGCGAAGCCGAAAGGCGAAGUAUAGGGGCUGACACCUGCCCGGUGCUGG
RNAcentral lists this ribosomal RNA (1286 nucleotides) under Geobacillus thermoleovorans. Its description in RNAcentral is "bacterial LSU rRNA". It matches the Rfam family "Bacterial large subunit ribosomal RNA", at positions 590 to 1872 of the family's 2925-position model. The record is from RNAcentral. Lineage: Bacteria; Bacillati; Bacillota; Bacilli; Caryophanales; Anoxybacillaceae.